GCGGAAGUGGCGGAGCUGGCAGACGCGCCAGGUUGAGGGCCUGGUCCUCGCAAGGGGGUGGGGGUUCGAAUCCCCCCUUCCGCA
RNAcentral lists this transfer RNA (84 nucleotides) under Planctomycetes bacterium RIFCSPHIGHO2_02_FULL_40_12. RNAcentral's name for it is "tRNA-Leu". It matches the Rfam family "tRNA". Rfam says of the family: Transfer RNA (tRNA) molecules are approximately 80 nucleotides in length. RNAcentral also lists the same sequence under 3 other names. The record is from RNAcentral. Lineage: Bacteria; Pseudomonadati; Planctomycetota.